UUAGAAGGCCUGACGUGUGUGAGAUU
RNAcentral lists this ribosomal RNA (26 nucleotides) under Perkinsus olseni. Its description in RNAcentral is "partial 28S ribosomal RNA". The record is from RNAcentral. Lineage: Eukaryota; Perkinsozoa; Perkinsida; Perkinsidae.